This 406-nucleotide ribosomal RNA is filed under the name uncultured bacterium. RNAcentral describes it as "partial 16S ribosomal RNA". It matches the Rfam family "Bacterial small subunit ribosomal RNA", at positions 30 to 526 of the family's 1533-position model. The record is from RNAcentral.
AUUGAACGCUGGCGGCAGGCCUAACACAUGCAAGUCGAACGAGUGGCGGACGGGUGUGUAAUGUCUGGGAAACUGCCUGAUGGAGGGGGACAACUACUGGAAACGGUAGCUAAUACCGCAUACCAUCAGAUGUGCCCAGAUGGGAUGAGCUUGUUGGUGGGGUAACGGCUCACCAAGGCGACGAUCCCUAGCUGGUCUGAGAGGAUGACCAGCCAUACUGGAACGGAGACACGGUCCAGACUCCUACGGGAGGCAGCAGUGGGGAAUAUUGCACAAUGGGCGAAAGCCUGAUACAGCCAUGCCGCGUGGAUGAAGAAGGCCUUCGGGUGGUAAAGUACUUUCAGCAGGGAGGCGUUAACCGCAGAAGAAGCAACGGCUAACUCCGUGCCAGCAGCCGCGGUAAUUC